CCUACGGGUGGCAGCAGUGGGGAAUAUUGGGCAAUGGGCGCAAGCCUGACCCAGCAACGCCGCGUGAAGGAAGAAGGCUCUUCGGUUUUUAACCUCCUUUUAGAGGGAAGAGCAGAAGACGGUACGUAUUGAAUAAGCAACGGCUAACUACGUGCCAGCAGCCGCCGUAAUAAGUAGGUGGCAAGCGUUGUCCGGAGUUACUGGGUGUAAAGGGAGUGCAGGCGGGAAGAUAAGUCAGAUGUGAAAUCCAGCGGCUCAACCGCGGAACUGCAUUUGAUACUGUUUGUCUUGAGUACCGGAGAGGUAAUCGGAAUUCCCUGUGUAGCAGUGAAAUGCGUAGAUAUAAGGAAGAACACCCGUGGCGAAGGCGGAUGACUGGACGGCAACUGACGGUGAGGCGCGAAAGCGUGGGGAGCGAACAGGAUUAGAUACCCGGGUAGUC
RNAcentral lists this ribosomal RNA (442 nucleotides) under uncultured bacterium. RNAcentral's name for it is "partial 16S ribosomal RNA". It matches the Rfam family "Bacterial small subunit ribosomal RNA", at positions 338 to 795 of the family's 1533-position model. The record is from RNAcentral.